Molecule: RNA transcript, 1243 nt
Organism: Tachysurus fulvidraco (yellow catfish)
Lineage: Eukaryota; Metazoa; Chordata; Actinopteri; Siluriformes; Bagridae
Gene: rexo2
Gene name: small fragment nuclease
Exons: 7
Source: RefSeq, a predicted model, not a curated record
CACAUCAGAUCGAAAGUUGGCAGGUAAUGGCUGCACUGAGGGUGUUGUGUGCAUCGUGUUCACGCCGGGUUGCUGUUCGUGUUGUUCCUCGCGUGGCUGUGGGUUUGUUUCUCAGGACUAAACUCCAGCAAACAGAUUUAACUCUGCAAUCAUACAUCCAUCAUCACAAAGCCAGAGUUUUAUCCUCGAACCUCCACCUGAACCCAGUGUUAAUGUCAGCUUCUGUUUCCACAUCAACAUCUGCUGCUAUGAUGAGCCACAGGAUGGUGUGGGUGGAUUUAGAGAUGACAGGACUGGAUAUAGAAAAGGAUGAGAUUAUCGAAAUGGCAUGCAUCAUCACAGACUCAGAUCUCAACAUCAUCGCUGAGGGUCCUAAUCUGAUCAUCAAUCAGCCGGACGAGCUGCUCGACAGCAUGUCGGAUUGGUGCAAGGAGCAUCACGGGAAGUCAGGGUUGACGCAGGCAGUGCGGGACAGUAAGAUCUCACUCCAGCAGGCAGAGUAUGAGUUCAUAUCAUUCGUCAGACAGCACACACCACCGGGCCAGUGUCCUCUGGCAGGAAACUCUGUGCACGCUGAUAAGAGGUUUUUGGACAAGUACAUGCCCCAGUUCAUGCAUCAUCUCCACUAUCGCAUCAUCGACGUGAGCACGGUCAAGGAGCUUUGCAGACGCUGGUUUCCAGACGACUACAAACAUGCACCUCAAAAGAAAUCUUCACACAGGUCAGUGUUAAAAAGGACAGCAGCUACACCUCCUUCAGAGUGACUGAGACCCAUAGGCCACGCCUCCUUCCGAGUGACUGAGACCCAUAGGCCACGCCUCUUUUAUAAGCGCUGGGUGACAUUCAAGAGAGCAUCAAAGAGCUGAAGUUUUACAGAGAGACCGUCUUCAAACCCCAAGGAGAAGAGAAGAAGAGAAAGAUUGUUGAAAAUGGAGAGAACAAACACACGGCCUAAAACACACCUGCUAUGACUGUGGAGAGUGUGUGUGUGUGUGUGUGUGUGUGUGUGAGUGAGUGAGAGGGAGAGUGAGUGAGUGAGAGGGAGAGAGAGAGAGAGGGAGAGAGACGGAUGUUCUGUGUUCUUUAUUUUAUCAUCUGAUACAGUCCUGGUUUCACAUACACUUUUAGUUCUCAGUAUUGCUACAGAAAUUAGGAACAACUUGAUUUUUUUUUCAUGCUGCUUUGAAUUUGUUCAUCUGUCUGUGCUGUUUGCUGAAGCGCAAAUACAAAAUGUGAACACUGA